Molecule: long non-coding RNA, 1466 nt
Organism: Pteropus alecto (black flying fox)
Lineage: Eukaryota; Metazoa; Chordata; Mammalia; Chiroptera; Pteropodidae
Exons: 3
Source: RefSeq, a predicted model, not a curated record
UCGAGGAUCCUCUUGCAUCUAUUGAACAAAGACUCUAAGAAAAACCUGCAAAGCAGUGAGGAGAGCAGGAUGAGAAAGGGGAAAGAGCCAAGAAAAGAUGUGGAUUCAGCUGGAAACUAGCUGCAGCUAUAUUCCACUUAGAGCUCUAGAGUAUAAAUCUCACUGCAGUUUUUCCUGCUUGAGGCAGGGGCUCUCUCUUCUAUACAUUUCAAAGAUUGGAAGUUAAUGCCAGGAGAAGAUCUGACUGGGAAGAAACCUGCAUCAUUGUAGAGGCCUCACAAUUCCACAUAAGAUUAUAAAAGAGGUUUUCCCUGAAGCCAAUACAUCAAUACAUCGCUUGCAAGAACCCCAACAGGCGGCUCUAUACAUGGGGAGUCCGACCUAAGACAUAUGAUAAUAGUUGGAGGGAAAAAUGCGUCUUUUGCAGCCCAAUGGGAGCCACCAAAAUCUACGAAGAAUUGGCAUCCAUCUUCCAUCCUCCAACCAGCAGGAGUCUCCUUUCAUUAGAUCUACACAUUGGAUUUUCACAAAAUUCCUGGUAAAUGACAGCUCUUAGAUACAAAUGUCUGAAAGCUGUUGGACCAGAAGAUCUCUAAUGUUGGGUCUAGCUUGACAGUUCUGGAAAGACUUUCUCUACUACUCACUGAAUAAUAGUGCUCUGGAUUUAUUGGGAUUGGGGAAUAAAUGCAGCCAGGCUAGGUAUUAAAGAAUAUAUGGCUAGAAGUAGCCUUGGGCAUCACUGAGAAAAUUUUCAGAUUAUUUCAAAUAGAAGCGUUAUUUUCAUCCUUUAGAUUUUCAGUCUGCCCCCUUUGGUUGCUUGCCUCCCUGAAAAUCUCAGAACUUUUAUACCAGGGUAGAUGCUGUUGUUGCUCUGCCUAGAUACUCUUUUAUUGGACUUGGGUAUCCAUCCUUCAGUUGUCCUAAGCUAAUGGGAGCCACCUCACCUAGAGAUGCCUGGGAGUUUAUCCCCCAGUAUCCAUGUUCCACCUAUUCCAGGUAAGAGGUUGUCAUGGCCAAUGGCUAAAUCAUGCUGGGAAUUUAAAGUGUACCCUUUCGCUUCCAGCUGAAACCAAUCUGUAAUUUAAUUCACACUCCAGAUCUUCUCAUGGGAUCAGACUGAAGCUAGACUCUAGCUGAGACCACGAUGUUGCUCAGCCCCUUUUCCUGCUCCAUCUUGCUUCUCUCACUCCCUUACUGUUUUCUCUUGACAGCACACCCUAAAAAAAUUAUUGGCAAAACAACUCCUCAGUAAGGCUUUGCUGCUGGAAAACUUGGCGUCCUAAUAGUUCAGGUAUCUGAGGGCCACAAAAGGUGAGAUUUGGCUGGGGACCAAACACCAAUUGAUAAAAAUGAGGUCCAAAGGAAGCAAUUUAGGGGUCCUUGAUUCAGAAAAGCUUGUAUGUCAUACCCUUUUCAAAUUUCCCAAAUAGCUCUUCAAUGUGUGAAAAUAAAUAAGAAAAAGAAAA